GACGAACGCUGGCGGCGUGCCUAAUACAUGCAAGUCGAACGAGAGCGCCCGGUGCUUGCACUGGUCAAUCUAGUGGCGAACGGGUGAGUAACACGUGGGUAACCUGCCCAUCAGAGGGGGAUAACAUUCGGAAACGGAUGCUAAAACCGCAUAGGUCUUCGAACCGCAUGGUUUGAAGAGGAAAAGAGGCGCAAGCUUCUGCUGAUGGAUGGACCCGCGGUGCAUUAGCUAGUUGGUGAGGUAACGGCUCACCAAGGCCGUGAUGCAUAGCCGACCUGAGAGGGUGAUCGGCCACAUUGGGACUGAGACACGGCCCAAACUCCUACGGGAGGCAGCAGUAGGGAAUCUUCCGCAAUGGACGCAAGUCUGACGGAGCAACGCCGCGUGAGUGAAGAAGGUUUUCGGAUCGUAAAACUCUGUUGUUAGAGAAGAACAAGUGCUAGAGUAACUGUUAGCGCCUUGACGGUAUCUAACCAGAAAGCCACGGCUAACUACGUG
This 498-nucleotide ribosomal RNA is filed under the name uncultured bacterium. RNAcentral's name for it is "partial 16S ribosomal RNA". It matches the Rfam family "Bacterial small subunit ribosomal RNA", at positions 28 to 507 of the family's 1533-position model. The record is from RNAcentral.